RNAcentral lists this ribosomal RNA (1191 nucleotides) under Bacillus sp. (in: firmicutes). RNAcentral describes it as "bacterial SSU rRNA". It matches the Rfam family "Bacterial small subunit ribosomal RNA", at positions 144 to 1322 of the family's 1533-position model. Lineage: Bacteria; Bacillati; Bacillota; Bacilli; Caryophanales; Bacillaceae. The record is from RNAcentral.
UAANUCCGGGAAACGUAAGCUAAAACCGGAUAGUUCCUUGAACCGCANGGUUCAAGGAUGAAAGACGGUUUCGGCUGUCACUUACAGAUGGACCCGCGGCGCAUUAGCUAGUUGGUGAGGUAACGGCUCACCAAGGCGACGAUGCGUAGCCGACCUGAGAGGGUGAUCGGCCACACUGGGACUGAGACACGGCCCAGACUCCUACGGGAGGCAGCAGUAGGGAAUCUUCCGCAAUGGACGAAAGUCUGACGGAGCAACGCCGCGUGAGUGAUGAAGGUUUUCGGAUCGUAAAGCUCUGUUGUUAGGGAAAAACAAGUGCAAGAGUAACUGCUUGCACCUUGACGGUACCUAACCAGAAAGCCACGGCUAACUACGUGCCAGCAGCCGCGGUAAUACGUAGGUGGCAAGCGUUGUCCGGAAUUAUUGGGCGUAAAGGGCUCGCAGGCGGUUUCUUAAGUCUGAUGUGAAAGCCCCCGGCUCAACCGGGGAGGGUCAUUGGAAACUGGGAAACUUGAGUGCAGAAGAGGAGAGUGGAAUUCCACGUGUAGCGGUGAAAUGCGUAGAGAUGUGGAGGAACACCAGUGGCGAAGGCGACUCUCUGGUCUGUAACUGACGCUGAGGAGCGAAAGCGUGGGGAGCGAACAGGAUUAGAUACCCUGGUAGUCCACGCCGUAAACGAUGAGUGCUAAGUGUUAGGGGGUUUCCGCCCCUUAGUGCUGCAGCUAACGCAUUAAGCACUCCGCCUGGGGAGUACGGUCGCAAGACUGAAACUCAAAGGAAUUGACGGGGGCCCGCACAAGCGGUGGAGCAUGUGGUUUAAUUCGAAGCAACGCGAAGAACCUUACCAGGUCUUGACAUCCUCUGACAACCCUAGAGAUAGGGCUUUCCCUUCGGGGACAGAGUGACAGGUGGUGCAUGGUUGUCGUCAGCUCGUGUCGUGAGAUGUUGGGUUAAGUCCCGCAACGAGCGCAACCCUUGAUCUUAGUUGCCAGCAUUCAGUUGGGCACUCUAAGGUGACUGCCGGUGACAAACCGGAGGAAGGUGGGGAUGACGUCAAAUCAUCAUGCCCCUUAUGACCUGGGCUACACACGUGCUACAAUGGACAGAACAAAGGGCUGCGAGACCGCAAGGUUUAGCCAAUCCCACAAAUCUGUUCUCAGUUCGGAUCGCAGUCUGCAACUNGUCUGCACA